Molecule: ribosomal RNA, 253 nt
Filed under: uncultured bacterium
Lineage: Bacteria
Description: partial 16S ribosomal RNA
Rfam family: Bacterial small subunit ribosomal RNA
Source: RNAcentral
GACGGAGGAUGCAAGCGUUAUCCGGAAUUAUUGGGCGUAAAGCGUCCGCAGGUGGCUGUUCAAGUCUGCUGUCAAAGCGCAGAGCUUAACUCUGUACAGGCGGUGGAAACUGAAGAGCUAGAGUAUGGUAGGGGUAGAGGGAAUUCCCGGUGUAGCGGUGAAAUGCGUAGAUAUCGGGAAGAACACCAGUGGCGAAAGCGCUCUACUGGGCCAUAACUGACACUGAGGGACGAAAGCUAGGGGAGCAAACGGG